Molecule: unclassified non-coding RNA, 253 nt
Filed under: plant metagenome
Description: partial contains small subunit ribosomal RNA and internal transcribed spacer 1
Rfam family: Eukaryotic small subunit ribosomal RNA (bases 1-46)
Source: RNAcentral
AAGUCGUAACAAGGUCUCCGUAGGUGAACCUGCGGAGGGAUCAUUAACAGUAGGCUUCAUGCCCGCAUUAACGGGUAGAUCCUUCCCAGCCUAUGUUCUCAAUUCAUCCAUUGUUGGCCCUUUGGGCGGGUCCGUCAGGCUCACCGUCGGGCUAACCCGGCUCCGGACUGGUAAGCGCCCGCCAGAGGGACCUCAAAACCCCAUGUAAAAUUUCAGUGUCCGGUCUGGUUGCUUGAUAUAAAUAGGAUAAAAC